GCGGGUAUAGUUUAGUGGUAAAACCAUAGCCUUCCAAGCUAACGUGGCGGGUUCGAUUCCCGCUACCCGCU
Molecule: transfer RNA, 71 nt
Filed under: Scaevola taccada (beach naupaka)
Lineage: Eukaryota; Viridiplantae; Streptophyta; Magnoliopsida; Asterales; Goodeniaceae
Description: tRNA-Gly
Rfam family: tRNA
About the family: Transfer RNA (tRNA) molecules are approximately 80 nucleotides in length. Their secondary structure includes four short double-helical elements and three loops (D, anti-codon, and T loops).
Source: RNAcentral